GACGAACGCUGGCGGCGUGCUUAACACAUGCAAGUCGAACGGUGAAGCGCCUUCCUUUUUGGUGGGUGUGGAUGAGUGGCGAACGGGUGAGUAACACGUGAGUAACCUGCCCCCUUCUUCUGGAUAACCGCAUGAAAGUGUGGCUAAUACGGGAUAUUCUGGGUCUGUCGCAUGAUGGGUCUGGGAAAGAUAUUGUUUCGGUGGGGGAUGGGCUCGCGGCCUAUCAGCUUGUUGGUGGGGUGAUGGCCUACCAAGGCGGUGACGGGUAGCCGGCCUGGGAGGGUGGACGGUCACACUGGGACUGAGACACGGCCCGGACUCCUACGGGAGGCAGCAGUGGGGAAUAUUGCACAAUGGGCGCAAGCCUGAUGCAGCGACGCCGCGUGAGGGAUGGAGGCCUGCGGGUUGUGAACCUCUUUCGCCAGUGAAGCAGGCCUGCCUCGUUUGUGGGUGGGUUGACGGUAGCUGGAUAAGAAGCGCCGGCUAACUACGUG
Molecule: ribosomal RNA, 494 nt
Filed under: uncultured bacterium
Lineage: Bacteria
Description: partial 16S ribosomal RNA
Rfam family: Bacterial small subunit ribosomal RNA
Source: RNAcentral